This 83-nucleotide transfer RNA is filed under the name Anaerolineae bacterium. Its description in RNAcentral is "tRNA-Leu". It matches the Rfam family "tRNA". Rfam says of the family: Transfer RNA (tRNA) molecules are approximately 80 nucleotides in length. Their secondary structure includes four short double-helical elements and three loops (D, anti-codon, and T loops). The record is from RNAcentral. Lineage: Bacteria; Bacillati; Chloroflexota; Anaerolineae. RNAcentral also lists the same sequence under 1 other name.
GGGGCGGUGGCGAAACGGCAGACGCAGCGGACUUAAAAUCCGUCGGGCUAACACCCGUGUGGGUUCGACUCCCACCCGCCCUA